Molecule: transfer RNA, 62 nt
Filed under: Ochthebius hasegawai
Lineage: Eukaryota; Metazoa; Arthropoda; Insecta; Coleoptera; Hydraenidae
Description: tRNA-Cys
Source: RNAcentral
AGCCUUAUAUUCAAUAAUGAUUUUAAAUUGCAAAUUUAAAGGAGGGUAAAUCCCUAAGGCUU